Molecule: long non-coding RNA, 1516 nt
Organism: Saccostrea echinata
Lineage: Eukaryota; Metazoa; Mollusca; Bivalvia; Ostreida; Ostreidae
Exons: 2
Source: RefSeq, a predicted model, not a curated record
GUAACAAGUGUGCUAUAAAGAUGUACAUGUUCAUUUUGUUUGUUGCUGAACAUGUAUAGAACACGUUUCAGCAGUCUGGAAAGCGUGGGAGCAGGUAUUUGGAAUAUGUCUACAAGGCAGAGUUGAUUCGUCAAGCAUUACAUUGGCCCUGUCAUACUUGACCUACUAGAAAACAGAUUAUCGGAAUCGCUGACUCAGACAGAUCAACUUUUUGAGCAUGGAUCAAGUGCAGAUAGAUCUGAACAAACCGAUGGACUGGUCCGACAUGAUGAAUCUUUUUGUCGGUAAGGGACAUGUCCGCCGAGCUGCCAUUUACGAUCUAAAGGGGAAGUGUAUGGCCGCAAGUGAGGAUCCAAACAUUCCACAAGACGAAAUCAUUUCUAUUGUUCGGUGUUUAAGUGAAAACUAUGUGGUGUUAAAUAAACCAAUAUUUGCUUUGUUUUUCGGAGAGGAAAGGUACGUUUGUUUCCGGGCGACUCCCAAUACCAUUGUGGGGCGCACUGCCAAGGAUUUCUUUGUCGCUUAUCGCUGUGACGAUUUUGUAAUUGUUGCAUUUGCAGACAUUGUCGUUAAUCCGAAGUUUUCGUGCAUUGGUGAGGUGUGGACCUUCGGAAACGAAAUCCGAUCAAGAAUGGAGAUUUCUGCUUUUAUCGGUUGAGGGCUUGUUUUGUGACAACGCCGCAUUCUUUGCCACUUGAAAUUAUCACAUACUUUCGUUUGUAUUUUGAGGAAGAAAAAACAGCUUUGUUGAUAUUUUUUCUUGUUGUAGUUUCACAAAGAUCACCAAAAGUGUUAAAAAUUUUUGGAGCAUUGUUACUUGGAUAGUAUUGUAGAUGCAUCUGUUUCCGCAAUCCCCCCCCCCCCCCAUUUGCAAGAAAAAAAACCCUCUAAUAUUUAUUAUGUAUGAUUUUAUGCAAACGUGCAUCACAGUGUAUAAGUGCAUGCCUUGGACUAAUGGAAUACUAUUAUAAACUUAUUACUGCGUACAUGUAUUUUGAGGGUACGGAAUAACAGUGUAUUGGUUUAUAAUAAUGUACAUUCUAGUUUAUACGACGAUAUUUCACUCUUCCAAUGAUAUAUUUUGAAUUGUAUAUAGUUUGCAAUGCAUUGAGUUUUUUUGAAACUUUUUUGUCUAGUUUUCGCAAUUACUAGAAAAUUUUGUGUCACUUGUGCAGUGUUUCUGUAAAUAAUCAUUUUUUUUCUUUCAAAGAUUAAUGCAGACACCAUGUCUCCCUAUAAAAGUUUAAUCCUUAAAUUUUGAAUUCAUUUUUUUUAAAAUUGAGAAUGCAUGCGUAUUUUUCGUAUACAAGUUCUAUUGUACCUUGUACAUUUUAUCAUUUUCUUUUUGAUUUAUAGAUUUUUGCUAAUAUUAUUCGCUUAUAUUAAAUAAAGCCCAAAAAUGCAUUUCCUAUACAUUGUAUUAUACAAAUAGUGCAAUAAUUUGUUACAAACAUACUAGUAUUAUAGAUUAGCCAAACCCCAAGUCUUAUCACCAAAUAAAUUAUGAAUUUCAAAA